UACGUAGGUGGCAAGCGUUGUCCGGAUUUACUGGGCGUAAAGGGCGUGCAGGCGGUUUGUUAAGUUCAGGGGGAAAGCUCCCGGCUCAACUGGGAGAGGUCCUUGGAUACUGGCAGACUUGAGGAGGGUAGAGGAGAGUGGAAUUCCCGGUGUAGUGGUGAUAUGCGUAGAUAUCGGGAGGAACACCUGUGGCGAAGGCGGCUUUCUGGGCCUUACCUGACGCUGAGACGCGAAAGCGUGGGGAGCGAACCGG
This 253-nucleotide ribosomal RNA is filed under the name uncultured bacterium. RNAcentral's name for it is "partial 16S ribosomal RNA". It matches the Rfam family "Bacterial small subunit ribosomal RNA", at positions 524 to 776 of the family's 1533-position model. The record is from RNAcentral.